Molecule: non-coding RNA, 131 nt
Filed under: Fibrocapsa japonica
Lineage: Eukaryota; Raphidophyceae; Chattonellales; Chattonellaceae
Source: RNAcentral
AAAAAAAAAAAAAAGAAAAAAAAAAGGCAUGCACAUGUUGUUUCGGUAGUACUGCUUUUGUUGGUGUCUUGUUUUUGUUGCCUUGUUUUUCUUUUCUGUUUGAUGUCCACAGGAAAAUGAAAGGCCUGUGA